Dermacentor silvarum is the source of this 948-nucleotide long non-coding RNA. RefSeq lists it as uncharacterized. The record is from RefSeq and is a predicted model, not a curated record. The transcript has 3 exons. Lineage: Eukaryota; Metazoa; Arthropoda; Arachnida; Ixodida; Ixodidae.
UGAGUGAAUGCUUCAGGGCACAGGUGGCAGUGGUGGGGGCGCUCUCCUGUGUGGCUGCGCACAUGUUGCUUGAGGUGUGCCUUCUGAGUGAAUGCUUCAGGGCACAGGUGGCACUGGUGGGGGCGCUCUCCUGUGUGGCUGCGCACAUGUUGCUUGAGGUUGGAACUCACACUGAACACUUUUGGGCAGAGGUGGCACUUGAAUGGACGUUCCCCUGAGUGUGUGCGCAGGUGACUCAUUAUGUUUGUCUUUUCCAUGGUCUUAUAAGGGCACAGCCGGCAGCAAUGCAGCCUCCCAUGCUAAGACACAAGCAAGUCGUACUGUUUCAGUGACCCUGACAACAAGGAACCUGCAAAGUCACAGGGAACAUGGGAAGGUGAUGCAAAUGAAAACACUUCCCUCAACUAAAGUGCUAGACCUGGCAAUCAAAAAGGACUACCACAAUUGUAGGCAAUAUACGUGACAACCUAACACACAUGCCAUAACCCAACACACACAUGAUUGUUAUGGCAACAGUACCCCGAUACAGUACAUGUCUCACACCAGUUCCUAUCUCUCUAAACAUAUAUUACUAACCUGAAUACUUACAAACCCCUGCUGGGUAUAUUAGAAGUCGGAUUUGGUAUGCAAUUCUGAUGUUAUGCCUAAAUAGUCAAAUAACUUUGUAUAGGUAGCACUUCAUUGUGCACUCGAAUAAUAAACUAAGAAUUACAUGUUUUCUGGCAUAAAAGGACUUCAAGAAUGCAGCACAACAAAAGCAUUAGGUGAAAUGCGAACACAUGAAGCAUAUAAAAUUAAUUACGUAUAUUAGUGCAAGAAAUUAUAAAAGAAAAUCAGCAACAUAUGAAAGGGAAAAAAUAAUAAACACGGCAUUUAUAUAGGUCAGAAUGGCACCAAGUUUGCUGAUGGAGGAGAAUAGAGCCGCAUUUCUGCGCAUACAACAAAGGA